UUGACUUAUUAAGUACAAUACUCAGAGAUGCCAUAAAAGUUCAAGAGUUAGGUACCUCCGGCGGGCGCCCGUUAGGGCCGGGGACCCCGGAGACCGGGGCCAACCCGCCGAAGCAACGUUGAAGGUAAGUUCACAAUGGUUUGGGAGUUUUGUAACUCUUUAAUGAUCCCUCCGCUGGUUCACCAACGGAGA
RNAcentral lists this unclassified non-coding RNA (192 nucleotides) under uncultured fungus. Its description in RNAcentral is "sequence contains ITS1, 5.8S rRNA gene". The record is from RNAcentral. Lineage: Eukaryota; Fungi.